RNAcentral lists this ribosomal RNA (384 nucleotides) under uncultured bacterium. Its description in RNAcentral is "bacterial SSU rRNA". It matches the Rfam family "Bacterial small subunit ribosomal RNA", at positions 29 to 414 of the family's 1533-position model. The record is from RNAcentral.
AGCGAACGCUAGCGGGAUGCCUCAAACAUGCAAGUCGCACGCGAAAGUCUUCGGACAAGUAGAGUGGCGCACGGGUGAGUAACACGUAGCUAAUGUACCUCUUCGCUGGGGAUAACUCCGGGAAACCGGAGCUAAUACCGAAUAAUCUGUCGGGGUCUGAGGACUCUGCCGGUAAAGCCUCACGGCGCGAAGAGAUCAGGCUGCGGCCUAUUAGCUUGUUGGUAGGGUAACGGCCUACCAAGGCUACGAUAGGUAGCUGGUCUGAGAGGAUGAUCAGCCACACUGGAACUGAAACACGGUCCAGACUCCCACGGGAGGCAGCAGUUGGGAAUAUUGGACAAUGGGGGUAACCCUGAUCCAGCAAUCCCGCGUGAGUGACGAAGG